GAUGAACGCUGACAGAAUGCUUAACACAUGCAAGUCUUUGGCGAAGCUGUGCUUGCACAGCCUAGCCAAGGCGGACGGGUGAGUAACGCGUAAGGAACUUGCCCUGCAGUCAGGGAUAACAGACGGAAACGACUGAUAAGACCUGGUAAAGUCAGGCGGACUCAUGUCCAGCCUGAUGAAAAGAGAUGCUGCAGGAGAGCCUUGCGUCCUAUUAGCUUGUUGGUGGGGUAACGGCCCACCAAGGCGAUGAUAGGUAGCCGGCCUGAGAGGGUGGACGGCCACAAGGGGACUGAGAUACGGCCCUUACUCCUACGGGAGGCAGCAGUGGGGAAUAUUGGAAAAUGGGGGCAACCCUGAUCCAGCAAUUCUGUGUGAACGAUGAAGGUUUUCGGAUUGUAAAGUGCUUUCAGCGGGGAAGAAAAAAAUGACGGUACCUGCAGAAGAAGCGACGGCUAAAUACGUG
RNAcentral lists this ribosomal RNA (463 nucleotides) under uncultured bacterium. Its description in RNAcentral is "partial 16S ribosomal RNA". It matches the Rfam family "Bacterial small subunit ribosomal RNA", at positions 28 to 507 of the family's 1533-position model. The record is from RNAcentral.